Molecule: long non-coding RNA, 713 nt
Organism: Pan paniscus (pygmy chimpanzee)
Lineage: Eukaryota; Metazoa; Chordata; Mammalia; Primates; Hominidae
Source: Ensembl
CUGGUGGCAGCUGCUAAGUGAAGGAGGACAUAUCCCCGCGGUGUGCAAACAAACCCUGCCCUUGGCCCUCCACGGUGGGCUGGAGUAACCUUUCCUGCCUUCGUUCUUUUUAUUCAGAUUAAUUAUCCUCCAUGGAGCAGGAAAUCCCACCGCCUUUCAACAGCCAGGAACAGCAGCUGCUAAACAGAAUUCACUGCAGGACAGUCUGCUUCCCUCCCAGGCAUUUGCACGGGGCCUUCCCAGUCAGAAGGCUGGGCAGGAGCUUGUGCAGAGAGAGCUGGAAUUCUGGGAAAACACGUUCCAUCACCAUGGCUGAUUCGGAGUAAAAGACACAUUAACUAAGAAGCUCAGUCUGCAACCCCGUGUGCAAGAAAGUAACUUUGAAAUCGUCUUUCUAUAAUGGAAAUGCACUUCCGUUUCUUUCUCCCAUCUGCGUCCUUGGUGGAGAGGUCAUCCCAGCCAGGUCAGGGUCUCCUGGAAAAGGUGUGUGUGGAGCUGGCGGCAGCUGCAGCGAGGGCUGAUUCCUCACCGGCUGGCUCUGUGCAUCCUCCCAGCCCUGGUCCCCAGCCCUCCCGAGGACAGUUCCGCACACUCCCUGAGACCCUUUACAGGAGCUCAUGUUGACCUAAUCAGCCAAUGUCAUCGUUUGUUCUUAAGGUAAGGGCUUUGACACAUGCGUGGGGGCCGUAUGAUGCCGUGACAUUGUCUGGGAG